UACGGGGGGGGCAAGCGUUGUUCGGAAUUACUGGGCGUAAAGGGCUCGUAGGCGGCCAACUAAGUCAGACGUGAAAUCCCUCGGCUUAACCGGGGAACUGCGUCUGAUACUGGAUGGCUUGAGUUUGGGAGAGGGAUGCGGAAUUCCAGGUGUAGCGGUGAAAUGCGUAGAUAUCUGGAGGAACACCGGUGGCGAAGGCGGGUCUCUGGGCCGAUACUGACGCUGAGGAGCGAAAGCAUGGGGAGCGAACAGG
This 253-nucleotide ribosomal RNA is filed under the name uncultured bacterium. RNAcentral describes it as "partial 16S ribosomal RNA". It matches the Rfam family "Bacterial small subunit ribosomal RNA", at positions 524 to 776 of the family's 1533-position model. The record is from RNAcentral.